Molecule: long non-coding RNA, 231 nt
Filed under: Panax ginseng (ginseng)
Lineage: Eukaryota; Viridiplantae; Streptophyta; Magnoliopsida; Apiales; Araliaceae
Description: long non-coding RNA (PGIN_LNC016843)
Source: RNAcentral
UACGUUUGACUUUUGACAUCAAGAAAUGAAUGUGACAUAGCUGAUAAUGUGGCACAAACAGGGUCGGCCCUGAGUUUUUCAGGGCCUAAAGCGACAAAAAAAAUUUGGGCCCUUUGCGAAUUGCUAUUAAGAUAGAUAUAAAAAAAAUUAAGAACUUUCUCUGAACAAAAGAGCAUAAAUACAAAAGAAUACCAAAUAUAAUAACCGAUUAUUUCAAUAUUUUUAAAGCAU